This 492-nucleotide ribosomal RNA is filed under the name uncultured bacterium. Its description in RNAcentral is "partial 16S ribosomal RNA". It matches the Rfam family "Bacterial small subunit ribosomal RNA", at positions 29 to 507 of the family's 1533-position model. The record is from RNAcentral.
AGUGAACGCUGGCGGUAGGCCUAACACAUGCAAGUCGAACGGCAGCACAGUAAGAGCUUGCUCUUACGGGUGGCGAGUGGCGGACGGGUGAGGAAUACAUCGGAAUCUACUUUUUCGUGGGGGAUAACGUAGGGAAACUUACGCUAAUACCGCAUACGACCUACGGGUGAAAGCAGGGGAUCUUCGGACUUUGCGCGAUUGAAUGAGCCGAUGUCGGAUUAGCUAGUUGGCGGGGUAAGCGCCCACGAAGGCGACGAUCCGUAGCUGGUCUGGGAGGAGGAUCGCCCACCUGGGAAGGUGGACGCCGUCCUGGCUCCUACGGGACGCAGCAGAGUGCAAUAUUGGACAAAAGGGGGAAGCCUUAUACAGCCAUACCGCGCCGGAUGAGUAGACCGUCCGGGUGGAAAGACGUUUUGUGGGGAAAGAACAGCAGCAAGUUACUACGCAGCUGUUCUGACGGUAGCCGGAGAAUAAGCACCGGCUAACUUCGUG